UACAGAGGGGGCAAGCGUUAUUCGGAAUUAUUGGGCGUAAAGGGCGCGUAGGCGGCUUGGCAAGUGGAUGGUGAAAUCCCUCGGCUUAACCGAGGAACUGCCGUCCAAACUGCUUUGCUUGAGACCGGGAGAGGUGAGUGGAAUUCCCAGUGUAGCGGUGAAAUGCGUAGAUAUUGGGAGGAACACCAGUGGCGAAGGCGGCUUACUGGACCGGUACUGACGCUGAUGCGCGAAAGCGUGGGGAGCAAACGGG
This 253-nucleotide ribosomal RNA is filed under the name uncultured bacterium. RNAcentral's name for it is "partial 16S ribosomal RNA". It matches the Rfam family "Bacterial small subunit ribosomal RNA", at positions 524 to 776 of the family's 1533-position model. The record is from RNAcentral.